This is a non-coding RNA of Phoenix dactylifera (date palm), 5857 nucleotides long. The record is from RefSeq and is a predicted model, not a curated record. Lineage: Eukaryota; Viridiplantae; Streptophyta; Magnoliopsida; Arecales; Arecaceae.
UGCAAGCCACGAAGAGAAACUGGAUUCAUGGAGGGAGGAAAAGGUUUGGAUGCUCCCAAGACGCCGGAUUUGACUGGAAGCUGGGAGGAUUCCUUGGAGGAUCUCCCUCCUUAAAGCUCGGGCGGCAGUGGCCGAGUUCGAACCUAAAUGCCAUGCCACCGUGGUUUCUGGGUGGUUCUCAGAAUCUUGGUCGACCUUCCGGCUAGUAGAUACAGAGUUUCUUGUCAGGAAUCUCGCUAUUUUUUUUUGAAUAUCACAGAGGUAGUUCCGGUUAGUUAUUAGAUGAUUGUUACUGCAUUAUUCAUUCUGCUGCCUCUUUAGUUGCUUGUCGGAUUCUUUCCUAGAAAAAAAUAAAUCAAUGCCAUUGUUUAUUUCAGCUCCUUUUAGUUUAUUGAGAUUAAAUAUUGGGUUGUUAUCACCAUGUCAGAAGAAUGGCAGGUGAAGGCAGUUUUUGCAUUUUGCGAAUGUAUACUCUUAUGGCUGCUGGUGUUUUUUGGGUUUUGAAAACUCUGCACACUGCAAACCAACACUUUAGAAGCCUGUUUUUUUGUAAUUGUAACAAAGUUGUUUGGGGUCAUUUCUGCCUCUUAUAUACGAAGGGAUAUAGAUACAGAAAAACAUAUAUUCACAAUUCUUCGAUGCCUCUUCAGUUUCAACUAUUAUCAUUGGCUUUCAAAAAAUAAAAGGUUUUCUUUUUCUCUUUUUGGAAUCAACCUGGUCACAGCAGCUGCAUUCUGAUGGAGGUGUAAUAGAAGUCAUAUUCUUGAGAUAGGAGAUGCUUGGACUAAUGCAUUUGCGUUGCUAUGCACAGGAGAAGCUCACUCCUUGAAAGUGGUAUAGAUCUUAUAUCAGGGAAAGUCGGAGUACCAAGAGAUCCUGGUUUUUGAGGUUCAUAUUAAUCUCAACUGCAAAUGUUUUGCUUUUUUUUUUUGAUGGAAAAUGUCUCCUUGUAGCCGCCAUGGUCCUUUUUAGCUUAUAUAGUGACUACUGACUAGGGUAUUGCUGCUUGCUUUCUCCCGCAGUUUUCUGUUUAUGGAAUAGUACUCAUGCUCGAUGGCAUUGUCCAGCUAAUGGAUAAAGAUGAAUGCACUUAGCAAGGGAUGAUUGCCCGUCUUCCUCUUUGUUCACUUCCAUCCCUGAAAACUGUAAUUUAUUUAUUUCAGCAGCUUUGCUAUAUUAAUCUCAUUUGGUAGGAUACUGCAAUUUUGUUGCUUAUUAUUCUUUUAGUCGUGAUCAUCACAUAUUUGCUUUUGGAAUCUUAUUUUCACAUAAUAUUGAACUUAGAAAUAUUUGUUCAGAUAUAAUCCAAAAUUUGCUAUUUGAUGUAUUCUAAAUGCACAGAAAUCCAUGAUUUCAUACUCAGGCCCCUAUAAUCCAGAUUAUUAGUAUUUCCUUCACCAUCAAAAGCCUGGUUAACUUUAUAAGGUUUAUAUUUUCUCUGCUAGUAAUGGUUGGAUUUCAUGCCCUUAUUAUGUGUUGCACUUUACAAUAUAAAGGAUAUACAUCUUUGCAUAACUCACAGGAGCUUCUGCUGUAGGUUUUGGUCAUAGGGGGUGGUGAGGGUGGAGUGCUUCGGGAAUUUUCUUGACAUUGUUCUGUGGAGUGCAUAGACAUAUGUGAAAUUGAUCAGCUGGUCAUUGAUGUUUGCAAGAAAUUCUUCCCAGAUUUCUCUGUUGGAUUCGAGGACCCUCGUGUUCAACUACAUGUUGGUGAUGGUAAGUUGAAUAAUUUGGUAACUUCAUAAAUUCUAUCAUCAUUUCAUGAGUUUGCUAUUAUUGUUGUUGCUGUAAUUGAUUGUUCGAAUUAUCGACAGGAACAUCUAUACAAUAUAGAAGCAUCUUCAUGUUUGCUGGGCAGCCUUGUCUUUCCUGGAAAAUACGUAGGAUCAAUUGUUUGACAUUCUUACAGCAGUUGAAUUCUUACAAAAUGCUCCUGAAGAGAUGCAUGAUACAGUUAUUGUUGAUUCAUCAGACCCAAUAGGUGAGUUGCAGGUUCUCUGUUCCAAUGAAGUUUUUGUCGUGUUUUAGUAUCUUAACUGUAAAGAGGGCACAUUAGGAUAAUGCCCUUCAAUUUUAUGCUAGAAAUAUAUAUACUUGAUAAUUUGUUCUGAGAUGCAACCACUCUUUACAAACUUCCACCUUGCAAGGUUGCUUAAGAUUAUGAUGGCCUAUCAUAAAGAAGAGUUUAAAUGCCCUGCAAUGGACACUGACGCUGCUGUUCAUGCCAUGCCAACUCUUCACAUGCACUAGCAUUGCUGCAUGCCAAGCAUUGGCACAGCCAGCACAAGGCCCUGCCUCAUGCCUGUUCGCUCACUGGCAUGAUUUGUGCCGAGCAGCGCAGAUUGACAUGGCUGGCACCUACAUCUUUGAUUAUAAAAGAGACUCUGUUCCAUGCUCACAAACAUAUAGAGUUGCUAUUUGUGCUGGUGAAAAAUUGAAAACAUCCCUGAAACACAAUUGUCAAUCACCACUCGAUGAGCCAGUCUCUCUGGCAAGACAUGAUGCUCCAUAGGAUGCAAGUUGGUUUCAGUUUAUUAUACUAGGUAAAUAUAAUGUUAGCCAAUGAAUUAUAUGCUGAUAGUUUAUGAAUUCUAUGCUGUAUUUUCCAAUAGAGUGUUCCUUUCUUCUUGGUCAAUAUUACAAACCACACAGAUAAGAUUAAAACUCACUAGAGGAUCUAUAUAGCUCAACAAGAUUACUAUAGUUCUUAAUACAAAUUAGGUGACCUCCUGCAUGCCUUUUGAAGAUGAUGCAAAAUAAGUAAAUUUUCUUGAAAAGAAAGUGUCGCGUCAGACAUCAGUUUGUAGUCAAAUCAUUCUACUGGAAGCCUUUUGACAUCUUGUACAUGGUAGGUAUAUUUUUGUUUAGCAAAUAUUGGAUUGUCUUUAAUUAAUAAGUUGUCGCUAGAUAAUGAUGACAUAAUAGUUAAGAAGCUUACUCCAUCUUUCAUUUUCAUCAAGAUUUGUUUGGAUCAUUGCUUAACUGCUCUAGUACAAUACCAGCAACAAGCAAGCUUACUCCAUGUGUGUGUUGGCACAAAAGGCUCUAUAUGCUCCACGAAGGUACGAAGAAAUUGUAUAACUGCCACUUGGCGUGAAGCUAAUCCUCUUUGAAAUGAUUAUGAAUUCCUGGACAAGGCAGGAGCUUAUCAUCUGACCUACUUUCUAGAUCAUGCAUUUAGGCUCAUGUAAACAAUGAUACAUAUAAUAUUUCUUUUUAAAAAAGUGAAACUAAAUAAUGUUUAGGUACUAGUCUUUUUUCAUCACUUGUGUGAUGUUUUGGGAUAACUGUUUAUCUAUUCACCAAUUAGUCAUUGUUUCUUAAUUUUUUCCUUGUACCUAUUUUCAUGUCUUCAUGCAUGUAACUAGAACAAGCAACUGGCAUGCUUUUCAACUUGCUGCAUCUCAUUUACACCUUGGUGAAUCUAUUUUCGUUUAUCUUUGUUACUAUCACUUGAUAUAGGGCCAGCUCAAGAGCUUAUUGAAAAGCCAUUUUUUGAGACAUUUGCAAUGGGUUUAAGAUCUAGUGGUGUACCGUGUUACCAAGCAGGAGAACAUGUAGCUUCAUAUACAUCUGAUUCAAGCAACGUCGGCGGAACCGGUACCGGGCACCGUACCAGUUCUCCAAUGGGACAAGUCGAUACGGGCUUGCAUCGUGCCAGACCGGGUCCAUACCGACACAGUUGAACAAACGGGGGAGAGAGAACGAGAGAGGAAAAGAGAGAGAGAGAGAGAGCGGGGGAGGGAGGGAGGCCGAUGGAGGCCGGCGCUAGGCCCUUUCGCAAUUCACGCGGAGAACGAAACAGGAGUCAGCUGCUUUUUAAUUUGGCGGUUCUUAAAUGAAGUCGGCAAAUCACUUGCCGACUUUACUUAAGUAUCGCAAAUUUGUUUAAUUUCGCUAUUCUUAAAUGAAAUCGGCAAGCGAUUUGCCGACUUCACUUGAGAAUCGUAAAAUUAAAAAGCGGCCGAUCCCCGUUUCAAACGAUACAGGGGAACGGCUGGAUAAAUCGCGAAAGGGUGCGGUGCCGGCCUCCGCCACCCUCCGCCACUCUCUCUCUUUUCCUUCUCCACCUCUGGUAAUAGAUUUUGUUUUCGUUGCCGGAACCACCACCGAGACGGCGCGGAACAGCUAGAACCGUCCAGUUUGAGAUGGUUCUGCGGACGUUGGAUUCAAGAUAUGUUCUCUAUCUGUCUGAGACCUUCAAGGGCUCUAUCCAUUAUGCCCGGACAAGUGUUCUUACAUGUUCUAGGUCUUUACACUUAAAUUCUCCUUUUACAUUGUCUCAUUUAAUGAAUCUUUUUAUUUACUAUAUAGUCUUUCCCUGUAAUGCAUGGCACAUUGAUAAGUUUUUAGCAGUGCACUGUUUUCUCUUGUCAUCUGUAUAAUAUGGUACCAGGUUCUUCUUGAUAGGAAGCUCCUGAUUUGGCAGGGGAAACCUACUCAGAGCUGGGUGUAGGUAGAACUAUGUCUUGGUUUUGCUCCUUAUUUAAGACUUUGUGCGAUGCUUAAAAUUGAAAAUGAAUUUAAUGUAGUAUAAUGGUUGUAGGAGGGGGGUAACUAUAGCAGUAUCUUGCAUUUUCUUUGAUGAGCAAAAAACUGCAGAAUUUCAUGUCUUCAUGAUAUAUCACUUGCCAAGUUGGCAACUUUACGAAAUUUGGCACGAGUCAGUUUUCAGAUUUCCUUCAACUUCUAUGGAUGUUUUAAUUUGUUUUGAAUUUCUUACCUUCGUGACAAUUACAUUUACAGUCUCCUUGUGCAUAAUCAUAUUCUGAAUGGAAGAAGGUACUUCUAAUUAUUUUAUGUUGUGUUGGAAGUGCCUCCCAGGAGUUGUAAGCUCUAUUCAAUACUGUGUUCUGAAAUUUACAUACUCCAUUUGUGCCAAAUUCACCUUGAGGUAUUGCAUCUUCCCUUUCUUGGGAUUUAUCUGUCUACUUUUUUCAACAUCACCUAACAGUGACAAGUUAUUGAGACAGGAGUCAUGAGUCAUCUGCAAAUGUGUCUCAAUUGUUUAGCCUGCUUAGCAAUAGAAAAGAUGCCAUGUUUAUAAAUAGUCAGCUCCUAAUUCAGAAGGUACAUAUGAAUCUCUUUUACAAUUCAUAUUAUUCUGAAGAUCUCUCCAUCAAUAGACAUAUGGCCUACUUUUUUGUUUCAUAGUGCUUUGAACUAGUUCUGCCAGUAACAAAAAACAAGUAUUUAUUCUAUUAUAGCUAUUACCUUCUAAGGGAGAUGCAUGUACCUGUGGUAUGUUCAAGUUUUAGAAACCACUGCACAACAAUAGAUUCAUUGAAUGUCAUAUACUAAGGCACAUUUCAACAAAGGUACUUUAUUGAUCAAAUUUAAUAUGGAAUGAGUGUUUGGGUUUUUGUUAUGCUCAGUGGAUGGCUGACCUGUCAAUUUCUUGGAUCCAAUAAACCCAAUCGAGAAGCAGGAAGUGGCAUUCAGAGGCAAGAGGAAGAUUAGAUUCUAUAAUUCAGAGCAAAGAUUCUUAAGCAAAGAACGCAUUAUCAGAUCUUGCCCAUACCUUGGGUAUUGGUAUGACAAUACAGGACUUGACAGAAUGAUAGGAAAUAAUUCCCAGGUAAUAUGCCCACGCUUGUGUCUCCACGUUGGUACAUAUGCUGAGAUGCCAAGUAUCUGCUGUAAUAGUAUUCUUCUAGUGAUUUUAUAGCACGUUGAAAUAUUUGCUGGCUUGGAAAAGGAGAUAUACCAUAGUGGCCAAAUGUCACAAAUAUCCAGGUAUGGUGUUAGGGAAGAUUCCUUCCAGGUUGUACCAACUUGGGAUUGGAUGCUGCUUUUAUUAGGGUUAUAUGGGGGGAGGGAGUUUAGGGGUAUUCAGUUAGCAGUACCCCUUAGCAUCA